GUUCCACAACAACCAGUCCCUCUUAGUUCCACAACAACCAGUCCCUCUUAGUUCCACAACAACCAGUCCCUCUUCACUCCACAACAACCAGUCCCUCUUAGUUCCACAGCAACCAGUCCCUCUUAGUUCCACAACAACCAGUCCCUCUUAGUUUCACAGCAACCAGUCCCUGUUAGCUAAGACAGUACGUUCCCAAUAAAAACAUAAUUCCACCUUGACAUUAUGGGGUAGAUCAGUGACAAAACAAUCUUCCUUUCAAUCCAUUUCAAAUUCAGGCUGUAAACACAACAAACAUUAGGAUAAAGUCAACGGGUGUGAAGGCUCAAAGUAAACAAAACAUUAUGAACACCUGCUCUUUCCAUGACAGACUGACCAGGUGAAUCCAGGUGAAAGCUGUCAUCCCUUAUUGAUGUCACCUGUUAAAUCCACUUCAAUCAGUGUAGAUGAAUGGGAGGAGACGGGAUAAAGGAAGGAUUUUUAAGCCUUGAGACAUGGAUUGUGUCUGUGUGUCAUUCAGAGGGUGAAUGGGCAAGACAAAAUAUUUAAGUGCCUUUGAACGGGGUAUGGUAGUAGGAGGUGCCUUUGAACAGGGUAUGGUAGUAGGUGCCUUUGAACAGGGUGUGGUAGUAGGUGCCUUUGAACAGGGUAUGGUAGUAGGUGCCUUUGAACAGGGUAUGGUAGUAGGUGCCUUUGAACGGGGGUAUGGUAGUAGGUGCCUUUGAACGGGGGUAUGGUAGUAGGUGCCUUUGAACAGGGUAUGGUAGUAGGUGCCUUUGAAUGGGGGUAUGGUAGUAGGUGCCUUUGAACAGGGUAUGGUAGUAGGUGCCUUUGAAUGGGGGUAUGGUAGUAGGUGCCUUUGAACAGGGUGUGGUAGUAGGUGCCUUUGAAUGGGGGUAUGGUAGUAGGUGCCUUUGAACAGGGUGUGGUAGUAGGUGCCAGGCACACUGGUUGUGUCAAGAACUGCAACGCUGCUGAGUUUUUCACACUCAACAGUUUCCCGUGUGUAUCAAGAAUUGUCAACCACCUAGAGAAGUUCCAGCCAACUUGACGCAAUUGUGGAAAGCAUUGGAGUCAACAUGGGCCAGCAUCCCUGUGGAACGCUUUCAACACCUUGUAGAGGGGGGUGGAGCAACUCAAUAUUAGGAAGCUGUUCUUAAUGUUUUGUUCACUCAAUGUAGAUUGUACAGUAUAGUACAUUCCCUGAACAAAAGCAGGAUCUAGAUUAUACAGCUCUAUCUGAACAGAUGCUGGCAAACCUAAAGAGUCAUUCCAUUUGAUUCUUGAUGACAGUCCAUGAUGCUGCUAAACCUAAAGAGUCAUUCCAUUUGAUUCUUGAUGACAGUCCAUGAUGCUGCUAAACCUAAAGAGUCAUUCCAUUUGAUUCUUGAUGACAGUCCAUGAUGCUGCUAAACCUAAAGAGUCACUCCAUUUGAUUCUCGAUGACAGUCCCUGAUGCUGCUAAACCUAAAGAGUCACUCCAUUUGAUUCUUGAUGACAGUCCCUGAUGCUGCUAAACCUAAAGAGUCACUCCAUUUG
Oncorhynchus tshawytscha (Chinook salmon) is the source of this 1536-nucleotide long non-coding RNA. The record is from Ensembl. NCBI's taxonomy places the organism in Eukaryota, Metazoa, Chordata, Actinopteri, Salmoniformes, Salmonidae.